Prinia subflava (tawny-flanked prinia) is the source of this 1951-nucleotide long non-coding RNA. RefSeq lists it as uncharacterized. The transcript is spliced from 3 exons. Lineage: Eukaryota; Metazoa; Chordata; Aves; Passeriformes; Cisticolidae. The record is from RefSeq and is a predicted model, not a curated record.
UGCCAUCUCCCCUGGGUCCAGAAGGGCAGGAAAUGGCAAGGGCUGGACGGGCUGUGGGCACGCAUUUACCUUCCAAGGCAAGAAACUUAUUUGAGAGAUGAGGCUUAGAGGCUGCAUUACCAAUCAAGGAGAUGCCAAAUUGAUUGGAAAAUGCCUGGUGAAAUAAACCCCACCGUGACAUCCUCCACCUUCCAGCUGGAGACCAGCAGUCACAGUGAGCACAAGGGAGCCAAGAGGCACCCAACAUGCCCAGUGUGAGUCCAGCACUCCCUAAUUCCACCUCUCACCUACCCAGCUGCUCAGAUAAAUAUGAGGGGUGAGAGGUGCCUCUCUUCAGCCCAGCCAGGGCCAUCAGCACGGCACACCACCAUCAUCCAGAGACGGAUCCCAGAGACCCACGGAGGGCAGCAGCAAUUCAGCCCCCAGGGAAGAGCACAGUGACCGCAUGGCAGGGAAUCCCAGAGCCAGCAGACAAUGUAGCCGUCCUCCCCGGCUCAGCGCCGGCUGACAAACGGGAACAAGCCCAGCUGAGCCAUCCACUUCCCUACCCUGGCAAUUAUACUCUGAGAGAAAGGUUCAAAGCACUAUUGUGAUCAAUUAAAUCGAAAAAGGAACAGUGUCAGCUCGCAGCCCUGGGAGGAUCCGGCCCUUUACUGAUCUCUGAAUUAAAAACGCGCAUCACAGCGUGCACAACGUACGGCUCCUGCGGGGAAAAAGGAAAAAUCCUUUUUCUAGGCAGAAGCGUUCAGCACUCAGGAGACACAAAAAGCCACGUACUGAGACAUCCCUGGCAGGGAGAGGGGAAACCAGCGGCUCAGCUUUUGGGGAGGAGAGGGAGGGUUAUCUAUUAUCCUUCCUUCCAACGCAUCGGGUCUGCUGCAAGACCAGGGUGAGGACGAAAUUCGGAUUUAAAGGGACACGCAGAUGGUCGGUGUGAAGCACGCUCCCUUUCCCCGCGGCGCCCCCCCCGCGCCCCUCGGCGCGGGCACGUCCAGCCGGAGCCGGAGCCGGGUCCCCGCGGGCAGCAACUAGGGAGCAGAAAUCCAGGUUGGCAACUUGCGCUCGGCGGGCUGUAAAUCACUCCCGCUCCAUUCACAGCAGCAGUCGUGCAUGAAGGUCUCACCUCCAAAUGGUCCCCGCACGCCCGAAGGUGAGCCAAGAGUCAGAUUAAUACCUAAGGGGCUUUGCACUGGGAAAUGCCACACCAGAGAAAAACGUUUUCCUGGGAUGGAGAUAGCAGCUGGAUUUUGGGGUGAGCCACAGAACUGCAACCUCGGGCAGGCAAGCAGCCUGCACCCUGCUUCUGCUCUCAAACGUUGCCCCUCACCUGCCCGAGUCGCCAAGUCACCCGUGCCUCAGUUUUCCUAGCCAUCACACUGGGCACGAGGCAAAAAAUCUGGCUAAAUCUGGCUUGCCUCCAUGGAACAGUGAUAUUUCAGGAAAUAAAAGAAGUGCAUGAGUGUUUGAUGAAGGACUAAGAUUGCCACCUGCUAAAACAAAAUGCCCAUCUGCCACGCGUUGAGAUGGUUGUUCUUCAUGCUACCUCCUCAUGGGAGUAGUCUUGGGAGGAAAAAACAAGAGAGUCUUUUUCCCUGAACUGCAUCUCCUGGUCCACAUGUGCUUUUUGGGUGCCAAACCAACAGGUGCCUGGACUUGCAACUAGCAAGUUCCAGCCCUGCCUUAUACUUGCCCAUUAUGAUGUUCAUGGCAUGGCCUGCCCAUGUUCCCCAAGGUAAGUGGGAAUAUUCCUCUGGCUGUCUGCAAAAUGGGAGCGGUUAUGAUGGGAUAACUCUGCUGAGACCCUCACCUUCCUUCUGCUUUCAGUCCUUCUCAUCUCAUUUACACAUUUCCUUUCAAUCGCUUCUACAGGAAUGUUUCUCGAUGCCCGGUAAGCUGCAGUGGGGAAGUUGCCCAUGAAAAACACCAAGAAAUCUCAAUAAAAGAAAGGAAG